CCCUAGCCCCCCAAACCCAUGCAGCCGCAGCUGCUGCCGCUCUCCUUUACCCUCAUCACCACUCACCCACAAGCAAACCUAACACAGACACAAGUGAAACCCAUAGCAGCGCCAAAUCAAAGAUGGGGAAAUAGGGAAAAUAGGGUCGCGGGAGAAGGGAGGAGGAGAGGAAGGAGAUUCGCGCCGGCGUGCUGGGCUCCACCGCCGCCGUCGCGUUGUCGCUGUCACUGAAGCUCCGCGCUGCUGUCCAACCGCCGCGCCUCGCCGUCAGUUGCUGUUCAUCUUCAUCGCGAACAAAGGGGAACGCGAGACCGAGAGAGAGAGAAGCGUGGAGUCGGUGUCGAGCGGAGAGGGACUCACCGCUGCCGUCGCGCACCGCCGUGUGCUGUCACCGCUGUCUGAACAGUCACCGUCGCCUUGGGUGGAGUCCGCCGCUGUCGCCAGUGGAGGCCACUGCUGUGGAACGGAUGUGUGAGAGGGAAGCAAGAUGAAUCCCCUCUGCUUCUGGUGCUCUGGUCCGCCGCAGCCUCCGCCGAAAUUCUUGGGCGCCGCCGUUGUUCUUGUUGCCAUUAAAGGAAGCUAGCUGCCGCCGCCAUUCAGAUCUGCUACAGUCUCUGUCGGAAGCCACCAUGGGAGCCGUGGAAGGAGGGGUUUCUGCCACCUUUGAAACUCCAUUGCUGUUGUUGUCAUGGCCGCCACGCCUUUGGCUGCCGGGAUCGGUAUUGUGGCCGCCAGAAACCGUUUUUCUUGGGUUGAGUUCCGAUAAAUGUGCGUCGAAACUAAGGUUGUUGUUGAGCCACCAGAGCUUUUUGUCGCUACAGGGCUGUUGUCAGGUCGGUUCGGAAUCGCAGCUGUUCCUUUGUGUUAUUUCGUGUUGCUAUGGUUAUUGUGAACGUGGCUGGGAGCUGAGGUUUUAAUUGCCGUCAGUUCGAGUUGAGGCGGAAAAGACUCUGUGAGACGUUUGGGUUAUGGAUUUGCGUUUUGAGGAUAUGGGCACAGAAGUCACGAAGAGUUUAUUUAGUUGUUGUUGAGAUGCUCUGUCUUGUUUUAG
This is a non-coding RNA of Arachis ipaensis, 1051 nucleotides long. The record is from RefSeq and is a predicted model, not a curated record. Lineage: Eukaryota; Viridiplantae; Streptophyta; Magnoliopsida; Fabales; Fabaceae.